AGUGAACGCUGGCGGUAGGCCUAACACAUGCAAGUCGAACGGCAGCACAGUAAGAGCUUGCUCUUACGGGUGGCGAGUGGCGGACGGGUGAGGAAUACAUCGGAAUCUACUUUUUCGUGGGGGAUAACGUAGGGAAACUUACGCUAAUACCGCAUACGACCUACGGGUGAAAGCAGGGGAUCUUCGGACCUUUCGCGAUUGAAUGAGCCGAUGUCGGAUUAGCUAGUUGGCGGGGUAAAGGCCCACCAAGGCGACGAUCCGUAGCUGGUCUGAGAGGAUGAUCAGCCACACUGGAACUGAGACACGGUCCAGACUCCUACGGGAGGCAGCAGUGGGGAAUAUUGGACAAUGGGCGCAAGCCUGAUCCAGCCAUACCGCGUGGGUGAAGAAGGCCUUCGGGUUGUAAAGCCCUUUUGUUGGGAAAGAAAAGCAGCAGGUUAAUACCCCGCUGUUCUGACGGUACCUAAAGAAUAAGCACCGGCUAACUUCGUG
This 492-nucleotide ribosomal RNA is filed under the name uncultured bacterium. RNAcentral describes it as "partial 16S ribosomal RNA". It matches the Rfam family "Bacterial small subunit ribosomal RNA", at positions 29 to 507 of the family's 1533-position model. The record is from RNAcentral.